CGCGGGAUGGAGCAGCCCGGUAGCUCGUCAGGCUCAUAACCUGAAGGUCACAGGUUCAAAUCCUGUUCCCGCACCCA
RNAcentral lists this transfer RNA (77 nucleotides) under Phenylobacterium sp. SCN 70-31. RNAcentral describes it as "tRNA-Met". It matches the Rfam family "tRNA". From Rfam's summary of the family: Transfer RNA (tRNA) molecules are approximately 80 nucleotides in length. The record is from RNAcentral. Lineage: Bacteria; Pseudomonadati; Pseudomonadota; Alphaproteobacteria; Caulobacterales; Caulobacteraceae. RNAcentral also lists the same sequence under 2 other names.